This 162-nucleotide ribosomal RNA is filed under the name uncultured bacterium. RNAcentral's name for it is "partial 16S rRNA". It matches the Rfam family "Bacterial small subunit ribosomal RNA", at positions 355 to 511 of the family's 1533-position model. The record is from RNAcentral.
UAGGGAAUCUUCCACAAUGGNGAAGCCUGAUGGAGCAACGCCGCGUGUGUGAUGAAGGGUUUCGGCUCGUAAAACACUGUUGUAAGAGAAGAAUGACAUUGAGAGUAACUGUUCAACGUGUGACGGUAUCUUACCAGAAAGGAACGGCUAAAUACGUGCCAG